CCCGUAGGGGGCGAGCGUUGUCCGGAUUUAUUGGGCGUAAAGAGCUCGUAGGCGGCUUAGUAAGUCAGGUGUGAAACCUCCAGGCUCAACCUGGAGACGCCACCUGAUACUGCUGUGGCUAGAGUCCGGUAGGGGAGCAGGGAACUCCUGGUGUAGCGGUGAAAUGCGCAGAUAUCAGGAAGAACACCAGCGGCGAAGGCGCUGCUCUGGGCCGGAACUGACGCUGAGGAGCGAAAGCGUGGGGAGAAAACAGG
This 254-nucleotide ribosomal RNA is filed under the name uncultured bacterium. Its description in RNAcentral is "partial 16S ribosomal RNA". It matches the Rfam family "Bacterial small subunit ribosomal RNA", at positions 524 to 776 of the family's 1533-position model. The record is from RNAcentral.